This 474-nucleotide ribosomal RNA is filed under the name uncultured bacterium. RNAcentral describes it as "partial 16S ribosomal RNA". It matches the Rfam family "Bacterial small subunit ribosomal RNA", at positions 28 to 507 of the family's 1533-position model. The record is from RNAcentral.
GACGAACGCUGGCGGCGUGCUUAACACAUGCAAGUCGAGCGGUAAGGCUCCUUCGGGAGUACACGAGCGGCGAACGGGUGAGUAACACGUGAGUAAUCUGCCCUUCACUUCGGGAUAACCACCGGAAACGGUGGCUAAUACCGAAUACGACCAGUCUUCGCAUGAGGUGCUGGUGGAAAGUCUUUUCGGUGAAGGAUGUGCUCGCGGCCUAUCAGCUUGUUGGUGGGGUAAUGGCCUACCAAGGCUUCGACGGGUAGCCGGCCUGAGAGGGUGACCGGCCACACUGGGACUGAGACACGGCCCAGACUCCUACGGGAGGCAGCAGUGGGGAAUAUUGGACAAGGGGCGAAAGCCUGAUCCAGCAACGCCGCGUGAGGGAUGACGGCCUUCGGGUUGUAAACCUCUUUCAGUACCGACGAAGCGCCCUGUCGGGUGGUGACGGAAGGUACAGAAGAAGGACCGGCCAACUACGUG